This is a long non-coding RNA of Dreissena polymorpha, 420 nucleotides long. RefSeq lists it as uncharacterized. The transcript is spliced from 2 exons. NCBI's taxonomy places the organism in Eukaryota, Metazoa, Mollusca, Bivalvia, Myida, Dreissenidae. The record is from RefSeq and is a predicted model, not a curated record.
UCUUUUAAAGGGGCCUUUUCACAGAUUUUGGCAUUUUUUUAACUUAUUCAUUAAAUGCUUUAUAUUGAUAAAUGUAAACAUUGGAUCGUAAAAGCUCCAGUAAAAAAUCAAGAAAAAAUUAAAAAAAGGAAAAGAACAUUGCCCGGAGCAGGUUUCGAACCAGUGACCCCUGGAGUCCUGCCAGAGUCCUGAAGUAAAAACGCUUUAGCCUACUGAGCUAUUCCGCCGAGUACACAUUCUUGUCGUAUUUUAUACCUUAUAUAAGCAAUCUUCGUAGUUUCACAAAAUUUAACGACAAAAACAGAACUCUCCAAAUUAUUCAAUCGUUUUGCGUUGCAACGCUUUAUAAUUUUUAGGUUUUAAAAUCGUCAAAAGAUGCAUAUAAUGGCUAUAUUAGACCAUGGUAAAUGUUCAGUAUUA